GACGAACCGUGCGAACGUUGUUCGGAAUCACUGGGCUUAAAGGGCGCGUAGGCGGGCCUGCCAGUCCGUGGUGAAAGCCCCCAGCUCAACUGGGGAAGUGCCGUGGAUACUGCGGGCCUCGAGGGAGGUAGGAACGUGUGGAACUUCCGGUGGAGCAGUGAAAUGCGUAGAUAUCGGAAGGAACGCCGGUAACGAAAGCGACGCGCUGGACCUCUGCUGACGCUGAGGCGCGAAAGCCAGGGGAGCAAACGGG
This 253-nucleotide ribosomal RNA is filed under the name uncultured bacterium. RNAcentral describes it as "partial 16S ribosomal RNA". It matches the Rfam family "Bacterial small subunit ribosomal RNA", at positions 524 to 776 of the family's 1533-position model. The record is from RNAcentral.